CUCUUUUCUUAAGUGUUUCGCCCCACCCCCUCAUCUAUGGUGUUUCGUGUGUUUGUUUUUGUUUUUUGAAGUUGUGUCUGGUCCUGGUCUGGUAGUCUGGUUGUGUCGAAUGUGAAUGUGAUUCAACUCGGAUUGACAAAAUGGCGUGGGUGUGAUUAGAUGUUUUGUCAGAAAAAUCUUAAAUCAUCGCGUUAAAAUUGUUAUAAAUUAAGUAAUUAUACUGUAGAUAUAGUUAGUUAGUGUUUGAACAUUAAUUUAGUAGUUAAGUGAAAAGUUAAAACGGGAUAAUACGUUUAGUAGUGAAUUAGAAAUACUAACUGUAAAGUCCACUUUACAUCAACAAUAAAUUGGACAAGAAAUUGACCAAGUUAUUCAAGGCCAAAUUUGACGUGUAAAAGCACACUUUGACGUCUAAGUUUGUUCGUUAUAAACUUCACGUGAAGAAAUUGACGAAAAAGAAAAUUGUUCUAUUUUUUCAUUUUAUUUGGCGUGAAUUCAGUGUCCCAAACCUGUGGCCUGUGUCCAUUUGGCGGGAAGUGGAAGUACAGCUUUUUGUUUAUUAUUAUUUGUUGAGGUUGAGUCUUUCAUGUUCAUGACAACCUAAAAAUUUUGAUUGGAAAAUGCAUAUAAGAUAAGGGGGUGGAAAAAUGGAAAUUAGUGGCUUUUUUUUUGCAGUUCUGUCUGUUAGUUUUGCGUUUUGCUCUGGCUGGGUCUCUUUUGUUUAAACAAUUAUAAUCAGCUGAAAGUGGUCUACAAAAAAACCAGGAAGGAAACGUAUUAUAGCCUUGUUGUGGCUAUGAAAGAUACCUAUAAAAAGUGUAUUGACUAGUUGGAAGAAACUCCACAUUGUCGAUGCAUAAUAAGAUAUUACUUUAUAAACAAAUAUCAAGACCUAGGAAUGGAACCUGGAUAAUAUAGUCAUCAAGAAGAUAACAGUAAGUCAUGAGCAACAACAACUUCAUAAGUAUGAGAAUAUUGAGGAAAUCCAGCUCCUCAUAUCUACUACUGGACAAACUAGAAGAUUGAAGAGGACAAAGCCUUUUGAACUAGUUUGAGUGAUAGGUGAUAGUGAAAAGCAGAGCGUAGUGCUUGUGUGCCUGUGUAUGUUAGAAUAGUGCACGAUCUUGUUAGAUUAGAUAAGAGACGCUAUGGGGUAAGCUCUUCAUUUUAAGGAACAGUAGUAAUUUAGGUUAAAUUAAAAUUGCUCAUUGGUCAGUUAUGACCAGAUUGUAAUUCUCUGAUGUUUGGCAAAAAGGGCUUAAGUCAGAAUUGCACAUCAAUAAUGUUUUGAUGAUUUCUGGACCAUAAAAAAAGUGUUGCAGACUUAAACUGUAUGUACCAAUAAAAAGAGCCGAUUUUUCUGGUCCAGAAAUCAUCAAAACAUUAUCGAUGUGCAAUUCUGACUUAAGCCCUUUUUCCCAAACAUCAGAGAAUUGCAAUGUACAAUUCAAUACAAAUGAAUCAUCAUCGUAGUGAUGAUUAUGGAAAAAAAUAUAUGACAAGAUUUUGUGCAAUAAAAAUGUUUAUAUUUAUCAAGGAUGUAUUAUUUGGUAUGGCCACAUAUACUUCUGGUAUAUCGUCGGUGAUGUGACAAUACCUCCUAUCUGCUUUUUCAUGAAUUUUGUAGGAGACGAAAAACCAUUUUUAGGGUCAUCUCUGUUUUCACAUGUAAAUUUUGACAUGUUUUGUAGUAAAUAGAUAAUUGAAUUUACUACAAAACAUGUCAAAAAAUAUCAUAUGAAAACAGGAGGUGACUGUAAAAAAAGUUUUUAGUCUCUCUUACAAAACGGUUAACAGAGGUGACAGUUAAUAGAGAGACAGAUAAUCAAGGUUCCACUGUAUAGUGAAAUUUGGACACCCGACACCCCAUACAAAUUUUAUGGGGGUUUUGUUCGUUUAAACCCCCCCAAACUUUUGUGUAAGUUACAAUUGAAUUAUUAUUGUGGUACUAUUAAACACAAUGUUUUUAAAACUUUUUGGCCUCUUAGUACUUUUUUGAAGUCAGUUUUUAUCGUGAUAUUUUGAAUAUUUGUCAAAUCCACCACAUAUUUGUAUAUGGUUAAGUACGAUUGUAGAGACUAAUAAUAUGAAAAUUUAUUUAUGAUUUACAUUUUUAGGUAUAUUUUGAACCAUUUUAAAAAGAAGCCAUAUCUUGAUAAAAAGAGCUUUAUCGAAAAAAUAGAAAGAGGUAAAAAAGUUUUAAAAACACAGUGUUUAACUAAUGGUACCGCAAAAAUAAUUUAAUUGGAACGUACCCAAAAGUUUGCGGGGUUAAAGGGAACAAAACCCCCAUAAAAUUUUUAUGGGGUGCACAAAUUUCACUAUAAUUUUUAUUUAAGAUGUUACUGCAAUAAUAUUGCUUCAUGUCCAUUUUCAAUAAAAAAUCUUUAAUAGUUUUCGAUAUAUUCGAAAAAAUCAAUUUUUAUUUUGUAUCUUCAAAGGGCUGUAACUUUUUUUGUGUGCAUAUUUGUACUAAGGUAAGUUAGGUUCAUUCAAAUUAUUUUUGGUCCCAGAAUAUGUGAUUUAAUUUACGACCAAUCUUUUCGGGACACCCUGUAUAAUAAAUGGGAUUAGCUGGCUUAAAAAUUCAUAAUCUACGUUCUGUAGAAAAUAUCCAGUUUUUGGUUUCUUUUUAACUAGAUCUUAAUAUAUAACCAAGCAUUUUAAGACCUUUUUAUUAAUUUUUCGAUGAUAUAUUCGUGUUUUUAGUUUGUUCAAAAUAUUCUAGAUGAUUGUACACUAUAAUAGAUAGCCAACUAAAUAAACACAAAAAUCUUAUUUUUGUUACAGCCUGUAUAUAAGUUUACCUAUAUAUACAGUGCAUUACGCACCACCUUAAAAAUUGGGCAUUUUUGAUGUCUCGAAUUUCCUAAACCUGUUGUCCCAUCUAAGUGAUUUUUUUAUAAUAAUAUAGCCUGAGGCUAUAGGUUACUGCCUUAUGCUUGUCAUGCACGGGGAGCUAUACUGUAAUAUAUAUUAUAUCACAUCGCUCUCUAUAGUAAUGAGUAAUGAGUGAGACUGCACAUACGGAACCAUUAGUUCCCUGUCUGCAGGCUCACUCAUUACUAUAGAGAGCGAUAUGAUAUAAUAUACAUAUAUUACAGUAUAGCUCCCAGUGCAUGACAAGCUUAAGGAUGUAACCUAUAGCCUAGGCUAUAUUAUAAAAAAAUCACUCAGAUGGGACAACAGGUUUAGAAAAUUCGAGACAUCAAAAAUGCCCUAUUUUUAAGGUGGUGCGUUAAUUUCUUGGAGAAGUGUAUUGUAAUUUAAUGUAAAUAAUGUAAUAUCCAAUAAUUGUAAUUUAAUAUAAGAUGUAAUAUAAGUUCCUUAAAAA
Molecule: long non-coding RNA, 3334 nt
Filed under: Diabrotica virgifera virgifera (western corn rootworm)
Lineage: Eukaryota; Metazoa; Arthropoda; Insecta; Coleoptera; Chrysomelidae
Description: uncharacterized LOC126879265
Source: RNAcentral